RNAcentral lists this ribosomal RNA (497 nucleotides) under uncultured bacterium. Its description in RNAcentral is "partial 16S ribosomal RNA". It matches the Rfam family "Bacterial small subunit ribosomal RNA", at positions 28 to 507 of the family's 1533-position model. The record is from RNAcentral.
GAUGAACGCUGGCGGCGUGCCUAAUACAUGCAAGUCGAGCGAACGGACAAGAAGCUUGCUUCUCUGAUGUUAGCGGCGGACGGGUGAGUAACACGUGGAUAACCUACCUAUAAGACUGGGAUAACUUUGGGAAACCGUAGCUAAUACCGGAUAAUAUUUUGAACCGCAUGGUUCAAAAGUGAAAGACGGUCUUGCUGUCACUUAUAGAUGGAUCCGCGCUGCAUUAGCUAGUUGGUAAGGUAACGGCUUACCAAGGCAACGAUGCAUAGCCGACCUGAGAGGGUGAUCGGCCACACUGGAACUGAGACACGGUCCAGACUCCUACGGGAGGCAGCAGUAGGGAAUCUUCCGCAAUGGGCGAAAGCCUGGCGGAGCAACGCCGCGUGAGUGAUGAAGGUCUUCGGAUCGUAAAACUCUGUUAUUAGGGAAGAACAUAUGUGUAAGUAACUGUGCACAUCUUGACGGUACCUAAUCAGAAAGCCACGGCUAACUACGUG